Long non-coding RNA from Lycium barbarum (goji berry), 2344 nucleotides. RefSeq lists it as uncharacterized. The record is from RefSeq and is a predicted model, not a curated record. Lineage: Eukaryota; Viridiplantae; Streptophyta; Magnoliopsida; Solanales; Solanaceae. The transcript has 2 exons.
AUAAGAUGCAUACAUAUCCUAAAUGCCUAACUAUUUUUAUAUCCCCUUAUAUAUAUAUCCAUGUAUCUUUUGCAUAGUUAUGAAAAUAUGUGUGAUAUUUCUAUUUCUACUUAUAUAGAAGCAUGGGUUUCGUCGACAUGCCAGCUUGGUCCACUAUUAGCUCAAGGGCAUAUUAGACUUUAAACAACAUUUAUACCACGUGUCAUUUAGUAACCCUUGAAUUGAACAGCCGUCUCCGUAUUUUUCAUUCAUUCUUUCUACUCAUUCUUCAUCCAUCCAGAAUAUUCUUCAAUUAUCUUCUCAGUUGCUCAAUUGGCAUUACAUCUCUGCAAUUUACUUUUCCCUGGUCUUCGUUUCUAUUGUUUAUUAAUAGAUUUUUUUAUUCUCUUUUAUUUGUCUUUUGUUUUUUCCUCUAUUACUAGCAAGAGAUAAUUUGGGCCUUUCCCUUUUUUACGCAGAAGAGGUUUUUGUUCCUGUAAUGUAGACUGCACUUUAUGUUUCUUAAAUUUUCCUUUUGCUAAGACUAGGUUUAUUUGGAGUCAUAGUGGUGUGUAAUGCUACAAUUGAUGCUUUUUGAAAAAAGAUUAAAUUUGAUUUACCGAAAGAAUGAGAUGUUGUAGUUAACACAGGACUUUAAGCUCUGAUUUUUUGAGAUCGUUUCUAUUAUUAUCGACCUACUUUUUCAGGUAGGUAGUCACUCUAUUUACUGACACGCUAUGAUGAUACUUUUGUUUAAUGUAAUAUGUGAUUAAAUUAUUAUUUUUGUGGUUUACUGUUGGACUAUAUACCUUGAAGGUUCUUUAUAUUAGAAUUAUUAGUUUAAAGGUGAGAUACAUAAAAGUGUGCAUGUUUGUGCAUGAACUUCAAAUGAUGCAUGUGCUUAUGUUCUAUUAGACGGACGACAAAUUAUUUAUAUAUUUUAAUCUAGCUGCUAGGAUAUAAUGAAUAAGUUACUCUUUUGGUUUAAAGGGAAAAAAAAGGGAUGUUUGGUAGGGGUAGCUUGCAACAGAGAGAAUAUAGGGGUGUUUGGUAGGGGUGGCUUGCAACGAAGAGAAUAAUGCAAUGACAAUUUUCAGUUAAGAGGGGGUUCAUUUGAAGCUAAAGCUAUUUGACCAGUGGGAUCACAGAGUAAUCAUCAUAAGUUGUCGCUACCCUUCAUUUUUCUUACAAAGUUGUGUAUGAUUCUGCAAACUAUAUCGCAAAAUAACUAGAUUGGUUUAAGUGUUACCUUUUCACAAAAAACAAAAAAAACACUAGAUUGGUUGUACACUUCUUUGGCUAUUGUGACACGUUGAUUUUCUGUGUUUGCAUUGGUGGAUCUCUAAGGAAAAAUUAUAUUAGCUCAAUUAUCCACCUCAAUUGCUGAGUUCUUUCUGCGUUUUUAUCUUAGAGAACUUCAAGAUUAUUGAGAAAAAUCAGAAAAUAGCUAUAUCUGUACAGAAAAAAUUGGAAAUUUAUUAAUGGAAUGAAAAUGUCUUCUCAGUCUUUUGGUUCAAUAGCUCUGUUAUGCUACUUUGUUCGUCAUGGAAUGGUACAAGUUUUAACUUCUUUUGGGUUCUUAUGCACCUUCACAUAGUAAUAUACUUUUGUCAAAUAUUUCAGCAAUUAGAAAGCUAUCUAUUUUGAACUAUGAGGAAAAAUAAAAUGCCCACCAACCAUUCCAACAGCAACAAUGAUGGACAUCACUGAAGAAGCAAGCGCAAGGUUGUGGACGUCGGCUUAGAAGGAAGAAAUCAACAAAACCUACCCAGCAAAGACAGACCUUCCAGCAGUUAACAGAAAACUGAAAUCAGGGCCCCCUAUUGUGUCUCAAACACAGUCACACAGCUACAAACAGCAACUGCGAAGAACAUGACUGCCAACAAAAUAGGAGCCGACUAUUGUGCCUUCCACCAAUACCAGCUUAUGUGAAUGUGUAAAUAAUGUGCAUAUAUGCAUAGACAGUACAAUCAUGAAUGUAUAUCUAUCAACAGUCUAAACAAUAUGUUUCAGCAGAAACAGUUCAAACAAAAUGCUUAGAGUAUCCAGUCUGCAUAACAAGACAUCUUCACACAAAUACAUAUAGGUAAAUAUUGGGCCCGUGUGCGCACGGGCAACCACUAUCUAGUUGUUUAAAAAAAUUGUAGAACAAAAGUUGGGUGUAACAACACUCACCCAGAUGGUUCGACAUGUACAGCUGCGUUUUGCAAAGCCGCACUAAUCAUCCCAAAUGCAGUGCUUGGUCGAAGCUUUGGGCGCUUGAUAGGACAAUUUUUUGUGUGUAAAUUAUUGUAGUUUUUUUUUUUGUGUGUAAAUUAUUGUAGAUAAUGUGUACCUAUGUUUGUAAACGUACUAAUCAUCACAA